This 786-nucleotide ribosomal RNA is filed under the name Thyronectria caudata. RNAcentral describes it as "partial large subunit ribosomal RNA". It matches the Rfam family "Eukaryotic large subunit ribosomal RNA", at positions 99 to 917 of the family's 3401-position model. The record is from RNAcentral. Lineage: Eukaryota; Fungi; Ascomycota; Sordariomycetes; Hypocreales; Nectriaceae.
CGGCAACAGCUCAAAUUUGAAAUCUGGCCCUAGUGGUCCGAGUUGUAAUUUGUAGAGGAUGCUUUUGGUGCGGUACCUUCCGAGUUCCCUGGAACGGGACGCCAUAGAGGGUGAGAGCCCCGUCUGGUCGGAUACCAAUCCUCUGUAAAGCUCCUUCGACGAGUCGAGUAGUUUGGGAAUGCUGCUCAAAAUGGGAGGUAUAUGUCUUCUAAAGCUAAAUAUUGGCCAGAGACCGAUAGCGCACAAGUAGAGUGAUCGAAAGAUGAAAAGCACUUUGAAAAGAGGGUUAAAUAGUACGUGAAAUUGUUGAAAGGGAAGCGUUUGUGACCAGACUUGGGCCCGGUUAAUCAUCCGGCGUUCUCGCCGGUGCACUUUGCCGGCCCAGGCCAGCAUCAGUUCGCUGCGGGGGAAAAAGGCUUCGGGAAUGUGGCUCCUCUGGAGUGUUAUAGCCCGCUGCGUAAUACCCUGUGGUGGACUGAGGUUCGCGCAUCUGCAAGGAUGCUGGCGUAAUGGUCAUCAACGACCCGUCUUGAAACACGGACCAAGGAGUCGUCUUCGUAUGCGAGUGUUCGGGUGUCAAACCCCUACGCGUAAUGAAAGUGAACGGAGGUGGGAGCCUCGGCGCACCAUCGACCGAUCCUGAUGUUUUCGGAUGGAUUUGAGUAAGAGCAUACGGGGCCGGACCCGAAAGAAGGUGAACUAUGCCUGUAUAGGGUGAAGCCAGAGGAAACUCUGGUGGAGGCUCGCAGCGGUUCUGACGUGCAAAUCGAUCGUCAAAUAUGGGCA